GCCUUCUGUCUCCUCCCCUUCCUUUCCCUAACGGCAGCACACAAUCCGCUCACAGACACACACCAUCUCAGAGAGACACACACGAUUCAACACUACUGGAAAGCCGAAAGGCUGGGUACUGAAUAAAACAUUACGUCCUCUAACCAAGCAGCAGCAGAAGUGGGAGUGGCAGAUUUCCAGACCAGCAAGAUUUUCCUACGGGCCAAAAGCGACGUCAUUUAUUAAAAAAGCAGGAAGAGUGAAGAUCCCAGAACAGAUCCCUGAGGCACACCACUGAUCUCGACGUCCAUGCAGAAUGUGACCCGUCUACAAUGGAAAACCACUUCUAUGGGCAAUCCAGUUCUGGAUCCACAACGUAAGUCUCCUUGGAUCCCACGCCUCCUUACUGUCUCAAUAAUGCUUGCAUGGGUUACUUUAACAAAUGCCUUGCUGAAAUCCGUAUAACCUGCAUCUACUACUCUUCCUUCAUGAAUGGAAGUGAGCAAAUGAGGAAUAAGAAAUGUAUUGCGAUGAUAUUGGAGUUAAAUUUUUCACCAGCAAAUACUCUGCUGGAUUCGGAGGAACAGAUCUAUAGAGAGAUCGCACUGACAUGGACCUGGACCAUAUCCGUCUAUACACCUCUAAUCCAGGUACCUGUCCAAGUUUUCCUUAAAUGUUAAAA
This is a long non-coding RNA of Hypanus sabinus (Atlantic stingray), 661 nucleotides long. RefSeq lists it as uncharacterized. NCBI's taxonomy places the organism in Eukaryota, Metazoa, Chordata, Chondrichthyes, Myliobatiformes, Dasyatidae. The transcript has 3 exons. The record is from RefSeq and is a predicted model, not a curated record.